Carassius gibelio (silver crucian carp) is the source of this 1282-nucleotide long non-coding RNA. RefSeq lists it as uncharacterized. The transcript has 2 exons. The record is from RefSeq and is a predicted model, not a curated record. NCBI's taxonomy places the organism in Eukaryota, Metazoa, Chordata, Actinopteri, Cypriniformes, Cyprinidae.
UAACAAUAACAGCAUUAACUGUGUGUGUUGAUUGUAUUUUCAAAUUUGAAAUGUAUUUAUAAUUAAAAAAUUUUUUGCCUGUAAUACAUAUAUCCUCAUGCAAAAACUCUACUCUACUAACAGAAAUGUUCUAUUAGAUUUGGGGAUAGCCAGAAACAUCUGGGAAUCUAGACUGCAGACAGCCGUCUGGCCGUCCAAGCCCGCCGGUUUCCUGCAGAAGCUCCAAGACGAGACCCUGGAAAUCUCAGACCGCUUUGAUGAGUCAAUGUCUACUGGCGACCUGAUGUAACAGCAAAGGAAUUUACCUCAGCCACCCCUGGCCCUCUGCCCUGCACAGCAGACUAAACAACAAAAAGAGGACAGACACAGGAACAGCCGUAAACCUGGUCUUAUAUCACCACCUGCUGGUCGUUGAGAGAGGUCUACGACUGGAUGCCCUGGGGGUAAGCAGAUAAACAUCAAAUUGUCUUUUUUGGGUGAACUAUCCUUUAACAACUUGAGCCCCAGGUUUAAGAAUGAGGAGUCAGACGCCAGACACUGCCAAAGAUGCAAACAAAGUGCAAAAGAGGACACAUGUUGCAGAGGAUCUAGUCUGAGUAACUCUCACACUGCAGAGAAAGCUGAGCUGGUGCAACUGGUACACAGAGUCGAUACGGUAGUUCCUGUUUUCUGCCUGUCCUAAAAACAGUCCAGCAACAUGUUUCAGUAACAAAGGGAGGGAGAUGGUACAGAGUACAAACUGUAGGUGGAAUGCUAUUCUGGAAUUCUCCUGAGCUUCCUGGCACCAUCAGGCAGACCAUAAGCAGAUCUCUGUGUCUCAGCCAAUCACAGUGCCAGAGCAAAUGCACACAGCCAAUCAGAAGAUUUAUCUCUAACAGCCAAUCAGCUGCCCUGACCCUUGGUUGGCAUGCACACAUUCUGGAAUAUUCAAGGGAUGUGAACUCUGUUGUGCUGUACACAGUGUGCUGUUGGUAUGUGAAUACAACAUCGGAUCAAUAUUGAAUGUGGGUGUGUGUUUGUGUGUUUAUGCAGUGACAGUUGUCCCUGUAUCAAGGCCAAACUAGUGUGCGCAGCUAUUUACAUCUCUGUUUACAUUUGACGUGAUGUUUCAACUAGUACGGUUUGCUAUUUUUCAGUUAUGUAUGUUUCCUGUGCUGUAACCACCUAGCGGACUAAAUGCCACUUAAAAUGACUGUCUGCAAAAAGACUUAAACAUUAAAGCAUUUUCAUGGACAGAAGAAAGAUUCUGAUGAAUAAUAUCAGAAUAAACCUGUUUAUUUUA